RNAcentral lists this long non-coding RNA (1025 nucleotides) under Fukomys damarensis (Damara mole-rat). RNAcentral describes it as "lncRNA (ENSFDAG00000032499.1)". The record is from RNAcentral. Lineage: Eukaryota; Metazoa; Chordata; Mammalia; Rodentia; Bathyergidae.
CCCAGGUAGUACCAAUGCUCAGCGGAAAAGAAGGAAUAUGAGGAGAUCCAUACCGUUGUAUUUUUGCUAUAACUGUGGUUUGUUCCUCUGUCACCGGAGCGAAAGCUUCAGCCCCCGCCUGAAAACGGCAAUGCAGAAAGACAAGUGGCCACUAGAUGGCAGCAGAUGGAAACAGCUUCAUUUGGAGGACGAAGCUUUGCCUGGGAGAUUGUUGCCAAGUCUGGAGCAGGUAGGCUCUACUCUACUUACUCCCUUAGUCCACCCACCCUCCCAGUCCCCACACCCUGUCCCCUCACCCUGUGCCCAUUCCUUACUUAAUUCUCCCUUCCUCCCAAACUCAGGGCCUUCUUAAGACCUUGGUGGUGGCGGAGGAGCGGAGACUGGGUUAUCGAGUCCAGGCACUCCCAUCAGCCUGUUAGGCGACUCAUUAACCCCGAAGCCCAAGACUUCUCAGAAUCACUUGUGAAGUGCCCCAAAAAUCUUGAAAAUGAAGGCAAAUAAUGUAGCCAUUUUUCACACAGAGAAACUGGAGUGAGCAUUUGGGAUGCAGCCUUACCUCUCCUGGUCCCCGUCUCUUUCCCAUAGAGUUGGCAAGAGUAAUAACAAGAUUCAUCCUGCCACUUUUUUUGCCUCCUCUUUUAGAACAUGACUCCAUGUUCUAGAAACCCUUGCUUGUCUGCCGGCCUUAGACCCUUAGCCUCCCGAACCUCAUUUAUCAUCUGUAACUUGAGGGACUGGAAUUGGAUGACUAAGGCCCCUUCCAUCUCUAUGGUUCUGCAGCUUUAAUUUCCCAAACCUUUGCCAGCCCUCAAAUAGCAUCCCACAGGACACUUCUUCCAACAAUAGCCAAACUCAACAGGAGCAAGCAGAAUUUCCUACUCCAGCGGAGAAUAAAUGUGGUCGUGGUUGGAGUCUUGCUGAUGUCUUUUGUACUCAGAGUGAAGCAAAGAGGGAGGCCUCGGAUGUCAUGGACACCAGCAGCAGGGCCUGGAGGUGGCCACAUUUUUUGUGAAGGACCAAGCAGG